This 1224-nucleotide long non-coding RNA is filed under the name Canis lupus familiaris (dog). Its description in RNAcentral is "lncRNA (ENSCAFG00845027767.1)". The record is from RNAcentral. Lineage: Eukaryota; Metazoa; Chordata; Mammalia; Carnivora; Canidae.
CUGACAUUCCAGGAGGGGACCUGCGGGACACUCCCAGGCCACGAGCAGGCCUCCCUGGCUGUCCUCCCGCUGGAACGGCCUCAGCGGCCCGUCGGGGGGGACCGGCGAUCGCGGCCAAGCCUAGGAAGCUCGCCUGCAAGGGGGGGACAGGCGGCCGGGCCUGUAAAGUUUAGGACACAAGUGGGGACGGCGCGCGCUCCUGGCUUACAGGAUCCCGCAGGAACUCUGGAUCGCCCUGCAAUAAAAACACGGAGCAUCCUGUUCGCGGCUGAGAAGGGCUUUGAGGGUCUCCCGGGGGGCGGCUUUGAAAGGCUGCCCAAACCGCGGCCCUGAUCGCCGAGGCGCGUGGCUGACGAGCGCGCAAAGCCUGCCCGGGCCCCGCGCUCUCCCGGACCCCACGCGGGGUGAAGAGUGUCCCUGCGGAGAGCCGCGCUGCUUCCCCCCUCCCCGGCCUGCCCCCUGCGGGCAGGUGUCCCACCAUCCGGGAGGACGUCCGUUUGCACAGCAGCCUCCAGCGGCUGGACACCCAGGGCACCGCGGGAUGCUCUUCGCCCCGGAAUUUUGGCAAAAGGGUGUGCACGUUGCCGUGAUAAUCAUGUUUUACAUUCAUCACGCUGCUUUCAUCCAGAUGGGUUUAAGCAUUCUACAAGCUUUAUUAAGUAAGUAGAACAAGUUAUAACAGUUGAACUUGUCUAUCAUGGAGCGUGGUUUCUGGGUGAAUCAUGGUUUUUUGUUUUUUGUUUUGGCCACACACAGCAAUGGGGUAUCGAUCAGGGACGGCGUGGAGCCGAGGGUUUCAGCCGAGCCUCCGGGAGGCCAGGCUUUGGUCUGAACUGGAAGAGCACAAAGGCCAGCGGUGUCCUGUGGUGCGCGGAGCGCGCGAGGGCCAAGGAAAACACCUGAUACUUCCAGGUAUUUGGGAGCCGGCUGCAGGACAAACAGCAAAACUGCAGACCCUCACCGCCCCCACCCCGCCGGCCUCCUGGGGACUUACUGCGGGGGAGUAACAUGCGGUUGGUUGCAUGUCCAGCUGAGAGCACCUAGAGGCGACGAUGGCCCUGCUGGCGCUAAAUGUUUGCUCUUCCUGGCUUGGGAGGUACAGAUGCUGCUGCCCGAGCCUUUACCACAGCUUGAUUGUGCCAGUAAGUACACAAUUGCUGAUUUUGCGAGUGUGACUGCAGACACCAGCCCUGGUCUCUGCUAAACCACUUUUCAAACUUCCUG